Molecule: non-coding RNA, 310 nt
Organism: Theobroma cacao (cacao)
Lineage: Eukaryota; Viridiplantae; Streptophyta; Magnoliopsida; Malvales; Malvaceae
Source: RefSeq, a predicted model, not a curated record
AAAGAUACCUCUGACCAAAUUUCUUAAUAUCCAGGUAGGCAUAGGCCAGAAUUUCAAGUUAAAUGCAACUGGUUGGAAAUGGAAGCUCACCACCUGUUUGGGUGGAGAUGGAGUUUCUCGGAUUCGGAAUAAGACAACACUUGGCUUGGUUCCUGGCCUGGAUUUUCGAUUUGGGUGGAGAGCUGAUUAUGUUCUUCCAGAAAUUACAGGGCAAGUUCCUUGAUGUUCUAUGAACUUGUAUUUAAGAAUAUUAUGUAAGCAAUAGGAAGAAGUGAUAAGCUCAUGUCUAGAAUAGUAGAAUAGUCUUUGA